RNAcentral lists this ribosomal RNA (1258 nucleotides) under Psychrobacter sp. DAB_AL4. Its description in RNAcentral is "bacterial SSU rRNA". It matches the Rfam family "Bacterial small subunit ribosomal RNA", at positions 85 to 1341 of the family's 1533-position model. The record is from RNAcentral. Lineage: Bacteria; Pseudomonadati; Pseudomonadota; Gammaproteobacteria; Moraxellales; Moraxellaceae.
GUGAUCACGAGCGGCGGACGGGUGAGUAAUACUUAGGAAUCUACCUAGUAGUGGGGGAUAGCUCGGGGAAACUCGAAUUAAUACCGCAUACGACCUACGGGAGAAAGGGGGCAACUUGUUGCUCUCGCUAUUAGAUGAGCCUAAGUCGGAUUAGCUAGAUGGUGGGGUAAAGGCCUACCAUGGCGACGAUCUGUAGCUGGUCUGAGAGGAUGAUCAGCCACACCGGGACUGAGACACGGCCCGGACUCCUACGGGAGGCAGCAGUGGGGAAUAUUGGACAAUGGGGGAAACCCUGAUCCAGCCAUGCCGCGUGUGUGAAGAAGGCCUUUUGGUUGUAAAGCACUUUAAGCAGUGAAGAAGACUCCAUGGUUAAUACCCAUGGACGAUGACAUUAGCUGCAGAAUAAGCACCGGCUAACUCUGUGCCAGCAGCCGCGGUAAUACAGAGGGUGCAAGCGUUAAUCGGAAUUACUGGGCGUAAAGGGAGCGUAGGUGGCUCGAUAAGUCAGAUGUGAAAUCCCCGGGCUCAACCUGGGAACUGCAUCUGAUACUGUUGAGCUAGAGUAUGUGAGAGGAAGGUAGAAUUCCAGGUGUAGCGGUGAAAUGCGUAGAGAUCUGGAGGAAUACCGAUGGCGAAGGCAGCCUUCUGGCAUAAUACUGACACUGAGGCUCGAAAGCGUGGGUAGCAAACAGGAUUAGAUACCCUGGUAGUCCACGCCGUAAACGAUGUCUACUAGUCGUUGGGUCCCUUGAGGACUUAGUGACGCAGCUAACGCAAUAAGUAGACCGCCUGGGGAGUACGGCCGCAAGGUUAAAACUCAAAUGAAUUGACGGGGGCCCGCACAAGCGGUGGAGCAUGUGGUUUAAUUCGAUGCAACGCGAAGAACCUUACCUGGUCUUGACAUAUCUAGAAUCCUGCAGAGAUGCGGGAGUGCCUUCGGGAAUUAGAAUACAGGUGCUGCAUGGCUGUCGUCAGCUCGUGUCGUGAGAUGUUGGGUUAAGUCCCGCAACGAGCGCAACCCUUGUCCUUAGUUACCAGCGGGUUAAGCCGGGAACUCUAAGGAUACUGCCAGUGACAAACUGGAGGAAGGCGGGGACGACGUCAAGUCAUCAUGGCCCUUACGACCAGGGCUACACACGUGCUACAAUGGUAGGUACAGAGGGCAGCUACACAGCGAUGUGAUGCGAAUCUCAAAAAGCCUAUCGUAGUCCGGAUUGGAGUCUGCAACUCGACUCCAUGAAGUAGGAAUCGGUAGUAA